GGAUGUGAGGGUGAUCUGGCUACAACAUCUGUCACCCCAUUGAUGGCCAGGAUUCAUUCAGCUGAUCUGGCUGGCUAGGUGGGUGUCCCCUUCCUCCCUCAGCUCUCCAUGUGCAUCCCUCCCACAGCUGUGAGCUCAAAGAAGACAACCUUCUCCAAUAGAGGAGGACCGUUCUUCAAUCAAGAAUAUACAAGUAGCUGCACUCCUCUACUAGAACCUCCAAACAAGCUCUCAAAAUGACCUUUACACUUAAUCAAGAGUUCUUGUGCCUGUCAUCUCCAUACUUGGAAUCUUAAUAACCUAU
This 304-nucleotide small nuclear RNA is filed under the name Propithecus coquereli (Coquerel's sifaka). Its description in RNAcentral is "7SK RNA (ENSPCOG00000000854.1)". It matches the Rfam family "7SK RNA". Rfam says of the family: 7SK was discovered as an abundant small nuclear RNA in the mid-70s but a possible function has only recently been suggested. Two independent studies have found that 7SK RNA binds the CDK9/cyclin T complex (known as elongation factor P-TEFb). The record is from RNAcentral. Lineage: Eukaryota; Metazoa; Chordata; Mammalia; Primates; Indriidae.